Molecule: long non-coding RNA, 828 nt
Organism: Xiphophorus hellerii (green swordtail)
Lineage: Eukaryota; Metazoa; Chordata; Actinopteri; Cyprinodontiformes; Poeciliidae
Exons: 3
Source: RefSeq, a predicted model, not a curated record
AGAAUGUAUCCCAUAAUUCCGUCAGGCAUCCUUAAGCUGUGUGACUCCAUGUCACAUUGCAGAUGCCCAGGGACGGGCAUACCCUUCAGAGGGGAGGGUGUAACCCACAUAAAGUGGGUAUGCCACUUUAAGAGAAGAGGUUAAGGAAGCUGGGUGGUCUGCCUGGCCAAUGAGAAGUUUGGUUUCCAGAGCGUCUGGACCAAUCAGGGUGCAGGCUGCCGUUGUGGAUCCCGCCCUUCUCCCCCGGGUCUGCAGUACCGUUGGUUUUGCUCUAGAGAUCCGACGCGGUGAGACUGCUGAGCGGGGCAGCGCCAGAAGCCGUUAGGAAUCGUUGGCUCUUUCUGGCAGUUAUUUCAGCUUGUUCUUCGUAGAUAAAAGUGCCCCACGCAUCCGGAUUGAGACCCACUAUACGGUUGUCUGAAGUGUGUCGCACUGAGAUCGGUGAGCAUAUUCGGAGCCUUUUAUUUGUGUUUUUGUCGUUUGUUACAUUGUUGUUAAAAAAAUAUCCGUUGUUUUAGUAACUAGGUAAUGUUUUGUUACUGUGUUGGAAAGAAGGAUUAAAGCUAGAACGGCUUGGUAAAGUCCUGUAUUUCUGCUGGUCCUGUCUGUUGACAGGUCAGGUUUUUUUUUAUACUGGAUCAUUCCUGAAGUGGAUCCCUCCUUUGAUAUUGAUGGCGAGCCUUCCCACCUGGACCUAAAGAGAGAACCAGAUUUCGUCUAUCCCAUUUGGAGUCAUGCUGCACCCUGCGGUGUGGUAGGAGAGCAACAUACAUCUUCACACACGGUUAUGUGUGAAACCUACAACUGACAUUCUCCAUUAUUAUUGUU